This 492-nucleotide ribosomal RNA is filed under the name uncultured bacterium. RNAcentral's name for it is "partial 16S ribosomal RNA". It matches the Rfam family "Bacterial small subunit ribosomal RNA", at positions 28 to 507 of the family's 1533-position model. The record is from RNAcentral.
GAUGAACGCUAGCUGCAGGCUUAACACAUGCAAGUCGAGGGGCAGCGGUAUCGAAAGCUUGCUUUCGGUAGCCGGCGACCGGCGCACGGGUGAGUAACGCGUAUCGAACCUGCCUCAUACUCGGGAAUAGCCUUGCGAAAGUAAGAUUAAUGCCCGGUGUUUUCAGAGUCCCGCAUGAGGCUUUGAACAAAGAUUUAUCGGUAUGAGAUGGCGAUGCGUCCCAUUAGCUUGUUGGCGGGGUAACGGCCCACCAAGGCAUCGAUGGGUAGGGGUUCUGAGAGGAAGGUCCCCCACAUUGGAACUGAGACACGGUCCAAACUCCUACGGGAGGCAGCAGUGAGGAAUAGUGGUCAAUGGGCGGAAGCCUGAACCAGCCAAGUAGCGUGCAGGAAGACGGCCCUCCGGGUUGUAAACUGCUUUUAGUUGGGAAUAAAACGGGGCUCGUGAGCCCCCUUGCAUGUACCAUCAGAAAAAGGACCGGCUAAUUCCGUG